NGUCAAGUUAAGAAGGGCUUAUGGUGGAUAC
RNAcentral lists this ribosomal RNA (31 nucleotides) under Leptolyngbya sp. PCC 8936. RNAcentral describes it as "partial 23S ribosomal RNA". Lineage: Bacteria; Bacillati; Cyanobacteriota; Cyanophyceae; Leptolyngbyales; Leptolyngbyaceae. The record is from RNAcentral.